AGUUCUAUAUUCUAAAUUAUGAAAUUUGAUUGCAAAUCUUGGAGUGGUGUGACCUAGAACUU
RNAcentral lists this transfer RNA (62 nucleotides) under Cryptopygus antarcticus travei. Its description in RNAcentral is "tRNA-Cys". The record is from RNAcentral. Lineage: Eukaryota; Metazoa; Arthropoda; Collembola; Entomobryomorpha; Isotomidae.